GACGAACGCUGGCGGCGUGCUUAACACAUGCAAGUCGAACGAAAAGAGGGAAAGAGCUUGCUCUUUCCGGAAUUGAGUGGCAAACGGGUGAGUAACACGUAAACAACCUGCCUUCAGGAUGGGGACAACAGACGGAAACGACUGCUAAUACCGAAUAAGUUCCAAGAGCCGCAUGGCCCAUGGAAGAAAAGGUGGCCUCUACCUGUAAGCUAUCGCCUGAAGAGGGGUUUGCGUCUGAUUAGCUGGUUGGAGGGGUAACGGCCCACCAAGGCGACGAUCAGGAGGCGGGCUGGGAGGAUGAACGGCCACACUGGAACUGAGAAACGGGCCAGACUCCUACGGGAGGCAGCAGUGGGGAAUCUUCCGCAAUGGGCGAAAGCCUGACGGAGCAACGCCGCGUGAGUGAUGACGGCCUUCGGGUUGUAAAACUCUGUGAUCCGGGACGAAAAGGCAGAGUGCGAAGAACAAACUGCAUUGACGGUACCGGAAAAGCAAGCCACGGCUAACUACGUG
This 513-nucleotide ribosomal RNA is filed under the name uncultured bacterium. RNAcentral's name for it is "partial 16S ribosomal RNA". It matches the Rfam family "Bacterial small subunit ribosomal RNA", at positions 28 to 507 of the family's 1533-position model. The record is from RNAcentral.